UAUGUAUGUGUGUGUGUGUGUGUGUGUGUGUGUGUGUGUGUAUGUAUGUGUGUGUGUAUGUGUGUGUGUGUGUGUGUGUUUCGUGUUCGUGUACGUAUGCACAUGCAUGUGUGUGCUUGUGCGUGUGCACAUGCACACAUGUGUGUAUGUAUGUGUAUGUGUGUAUGUAUGUGUAUGUGUGUAUGUAUGUGUAUGUGUGUAUGUCUGUAUGCUUAUGCGUGCAUGUAUGUGUACGUGUAUGUAUGCUUGGGCGUGCAUGUGUGAAUGCAAACAUGUACUCGCCUGCACACCGAAAUCCCACUCUGCCGUGGCAUCAUCUACAGCUGGCCAAGGUACUUGUACGUGUGAAUGUUGCAAAACUGCAUGCUUCUGCCCGAUCCUAUGGUCGAAUUUUAGGCCACAGACAGUGUUCCUCAGUUGCAUAUGUUUGGUUCUGACUUUGGCUGACUGGGCGGAUACGUCCAUAAUUUAACAUCACAAUAAAAUAAUUUGUAAUUCAGCGCAUGCGCAGAUUGCGAAUAGCAACUGAAUAUAGUGGUUUUCAGUUGACAAACCUCCUUUUCUUACAUAUGCUUAGGAGGGCAAUCAAGUUCAUUUUUUCAGUUGCAACAACCUCUUCCUCACAAUCUAGCUCAUGCUUUCAGAAUAAAAUCCAGAUGAUCAGCGAUUGUUGUCAUUUUCUGCAUGUGAAGGUGAUGAUGAUCAGAUCUCAUGCAGAUAUUUUCACCCGUGUGCAGCAUGUUCAGAUUUGUAUCCAGGCACUGAGAUUUGGGCUUUAGGCGCAUCGGUUGUGUUCUGGGUGAGGGCCCAAGUGCCGUAGAAUGUGCCAUGUCUAAGUCACCGGUAAUUUGCGUGUGUGCUCAAUGUCAGCAUUUCUAUCUAUUUUAAGUAUGUGUCUGUCUGUCUGUCUGUCUGUCUGUCCGUCUUUCUUUCUGUCCGUCUUUCUUUCUCUUUCACUCUAUGAAUGCGUGUCGGCGUCAUCACCGAAUCUCGCACCAUCCUGAAACAGCCAUGUUUGCAAGCAUCGCCAUGGUGCUGCUGGGGGCAGUGAUGGCUCUGGUCAUGUAAACCAGAUGACAGUCAGCUCAUGUUGGUGGCCAUCUUUGUCGUGGGAACGGAAUCCAUCGUCAGGAGCAGCUAUGAAGAAGGCCCUAAUAAGGAGUUCUAAUUUUAGUAUUAUUUUCAAUAGUUGCAUAUUCACACUCACUUGUUACGUGUUUUUCUCCCUUGCACCCUUUUCUCACCUUUUUUGUAUGCUAGAGUCUCGCAUCAUCAUUCAUUAUCAUUGUUUCUGGAUUUAGCUGUUCAUCUUUAUGCUGAGCCCUUUUGGCUGCCUUCCGUAGGUAACCCCUUGUACUUGUUUCCCUUUCCUUGCUUGUACCUCACCUGAAGACAAGGCUCGAAGGUAUACAUGUGCAUGUACCAGUAAAGGUCAAGAUGUUGUUGCUGAAGGACCUGAAGUGUGUCUUCUUCCUAACUGUUUAAAAAAAGGAUUACAAUUUUUUUCUCCCAGGAAGAUUUUCUAAGAGAGCAUUUCGGAGAAUACCAGAUAAUGUGUGCAAGUCGA
This is a long non-coding RNA of Sycon ciliatum, 1567 nucleotides long. RefSeq lists it as uncharacterized. The record is from RefSeq and is a predicted model, not a curated record. NCBI's taxonomy places the organism in Eukaryota, Metazoa, Porifera, Calcarea, Leucosolenida, Sycettidae. The transcript has 2 exons.